GAGUUUGAUUAUGGCUCAGGAUGAACGCUGGCGGCAUGCCUAACACAUGCAAGUUGAACGAGAAGUUCUGGAGGGAGUCUUCGGACGAACGAAGGAAUGGAAAGUAGCGAACGGGUGAGUAACGCGUGGGCAACCAACCUUACACAGGGGGAUAACGCAGAGAAAUUUGCGCUAAUACCGCAUAAGCGCACAGUACCGCAUGGUACGGUGUGAAAAACUCCGGUGGUGUAAGACGGGCCCGCGUCUGAUUAGUUAGUUGGUGAGGUAAAAGCUCACCAAGGCGACGAUCAGUAGCCGACCUGAGAGGGUGAUCGGCCACAUUGGGACUGAGACACGGCCCAAACUCCUACGGGAGGCAGCAGUGGGGGAUAUUGCACAAUGGAGGAAACUCUGAUGCAGCAAUGCCGCGUGAAGGAAGACGGUUUUCGGAUUGUAAACUUCUAUCAGCAGGGAAGAAAAUGACG
Molecule: ribosomal RNA, 464 nt
Filed under: Lachnospiraceae bacterium canine oral taxon 073
Lineage: Bacteria; Bacillati; Bacillota; Clostridia; Lachnospirales; Lachnospiraceae
Description: bacterial SSU rRNA
Rfam family: Bacterial small subunit ribosomal RNA
Source: RNAcentral